GUUGGUGAGGUAACGGCCCACCAAGGCGACGAUCGGUAGCCGGACUGAGAGGUUGAACGGCCACAUUGGGACUGAGACACGGCCCAGACUCCUACGGGAGGCAGCAGUGGGGAAUAUUGCACAAUGGGGGAAACCCUGAUGCAGCGACGCCGCGUGGAGGAAGAAGGUCUUCGGAUUGUAAACUCCUGUUGUUGAGGAAGAUAAUGACGGUACUCAACAAGGAAGUGACGGCUAACUACGUGCCAGCAGCCGCGGUAAAACGUAGGUCACAAGCGUUGUCCGGAAUUACUGGGUGUAAAGGGAGCGCAGGCGGGAAGACAAGUUGGAAGUGAAAUCUAUGGGCUCAACCCAUAAACUGCUUUCAAAACUGUUUUUCUUGAGUAGUGCAGAGGUAGGCGGAAUUCCCGGUGUAGCGGUGGAAUGCGUAGAUAUCGGGAGGAACACCAGUGGCGAAGGCGGCCUACUGGGCACCAACUGACGCUGAGGCUCGAAAGUGUGGGUAGCAAACAGGAUUAGAUACCCUGGUAGUCCACACCGUAAACGAUGAUUACUAGGUGUUGGAGGAUUGACCCCUUCAGUGCCGCAGU
This 587-nucleotide ribosomal RNA is filed under the name Faecalibacterium prausnitzii. RNAcentral's name for it is "bacterial SSU rRNA". It matches the Rfam family "Bacterial small subunit ribosomal RNA", at positions 248 to 852 of the family's 1533-position model. Lineage: Bacteria; Bacillati; Bacillota; Clostridia; Eubacteriales; Oscillospiraceae. The record is from RNAcentral.